GACGAACCGUCCAAACGUUAUUCGGAAUUACUGGGCUUAAAGGGUGCGUAGGCGGCUUAUUAAGUCAGUGGUGAAAGCUCCAUGCUUAACAUGGAAAUUGCCAUUGAUACUGAUGAGCUUGAGUAGAUUUGAAGUGGGCGGAAUGUGUCGUGUAGCGGUGAAAUGCUUAGAUAUGACACAGAACACCGAUUGCGUAGGCAGCUCACUAAACUCUUACUGACGCUGAGGCACGAAAGCAUGGGGAUCAAACAGG
Molecule: ribosomal RNA, 253 nt
Filed under: uncultured bacterium
Lineage: Bacteria
Description: partial 16S ribosomal RNA
Rfam family: Bacterial small subunit ribosomal RNA
Source: RNAcentral